Molecule: long non-coding RNA, 1586 nt
Filed under: Junco hyemalis (dark-eyed junco)
Lineage: Eukaryota; Metazoa; Chordata; Aves; Passeriformes; Passerellidae
Description: lncRNA (ENSJHYG00000015504.1)
Source: RNAcentral
GGCUGCUGGAGGAGGAGUUUGCUCGGCCGCCUCUUCCUCGGGGAUGCUCUGGGAAAGCUCCAGCACAAAGGAGCGGCGCGGCGGGCAGGAGCCAGCGCAACCGGAGCCCCCCAACCCCAGCCCGGCCCCCCGGAGCAGUCCCCUCGCUGCCCCACAGAGCCACGUGGAACAGGGGACAUUGCACAGCACUCCUGUAGCUGGUGACCACAGUGCCACCACCCCAGGGGCACGGCCCAGCUCCUGCCUGGCCAGACUGUCCAUGUCCAGAGGGGAGCCAGGCUCAGGAGCUGCCAUCACCACCAGGACACGAUGCCAGAGCCGGGCUGGCCCCAGCAGAGCACCCUGGUACCCUCUGCCAUGGCGUGGAGCCACCAGCCCAGCCACUGCGGGGGACAUGGCCCAGGAGAUGGCACUGGUGACACCUGAGGACACUGGGCUGAGCAUGCACACGGUUCUCCUGCAAGGUGCUGAGGUGUCCUUGCCUCCCACUGCUGCUCCCAGGCCUGUCCCCUGCCCUGAGCACAGAGUAGGAGGAGGGAGAAGGAAAAGGGAGUGGGGGCAGAGCUGUGCCAGCUCCUCGUGGUGACACGAUGGGCACAGAGCCCACAGGGGCUCUGUUUGUCCCCACUGACCCUGCCCUUCCCUCUGGCUUUCUGGAACACCUGGGUGGAGCCUGGGCAGGGAAUCCUGCUGCCAUGGCCUCUGCAGUGCCCUGUAAGGGUGGGACCCUGUCCUCACCAAGCAGCCACUCGGGCCCAUGUCCCCACACAGGCACAAGGACAGGACGGGGGUGCAGUGGGCUGGGGGCACACACAGCUCAUGGCAGGUGUCACAGCCUUGAAGUCCAAACUGGAAAAGUGUCUCUUGGGGACCAGAGGAGCUUGUGCUGUGGGAGGAGGUGACCCAGAGGGACACAGGGCAGAGGCUUUCCUGGGUGCCCUAUCCCAGCCCUGUUUCCUGGGGCACAGUGCAGCCCUUGGAGCAGUGCUCAGCCCCAUGGAGAGGCAGCUCCUGAUGGGGAGGGGGUAAGCUGUGGGUCACCUUUCUUCUGCUCCAUAGUAGUUUUCCCUGCUGGACCUGCACGUGCAGUGGGAGCUGGGGCAGUCCUGGAGCAGCUGCCAUGGUCUCUGCUGCAGCCUUACCCCAGACACCACCAGUGAUUCUUUCACCCUUCCUUUUCUGCUUCUUGAGCUCCUUCAGAGUCCUUUAGGUGCUGCUGGGGCUCUGUUCUCCAUGCAUCCUGUCUCUCACCUUUCCCAGCACCAGGGGUGGAAAGCCCAUAUUCUGAGGGGGCUCUGGUACCUCCCUGGCAGAGAUCAGAGGGGCAGGAGCCUGCUGAGCAUUUCAUUCAGGGACAGGUUCUGCUACACCACCUAAACCCUCCACUAACACCUCCCCAAAUACCAACACCCAAAACCGCCUCCUGCUCUUGUGAGCCAGAGCCCUGCUGCUGGCAGGCCUGGCUCUGCAUGCUGCCAAUAUUAACCUACUAACCUGCUGGGCCCCCUGUGCCCUCCCUGGGGCUGCCACAGCCCCUGGCACACGGACUAACCCACUAACCAGCCCAGCGCAUGCCCUACUAACCC